Molecule: long non-coding RNA, 333 nt
Filed under: Trifolium pratense (red clover)
Lineage: Eukaryota; Viridiplantae; Streptophyta; Magnoliopsida; Fabales; Fabaceae
Description: long non-coding RNA (TPRA_LNC008516)
Source: RNAcentral
UUUGAGGGUACACAUGCUGCAGACUGUGCUGCAUCAUCUGUCAAUCAGUCAACUGAUGUUUUGCCUAGGAAGCAAAUGAUUGUUGACCUCAAGGUGUUUUUUUUUUCAAUGUCAAUCCUGGUGUUCUUAAUGAUAUUGCAGGUGGUGAUACUGAGGUAGAGGAGGAGGACUCUGACGCAAGUCCUUCUAUGUGACCUGCUUAUGCUUUAUUUGCAUGUCCUNNNNNNNNNNNNCUAUGCUCUGAUUCUCUCUGCACUCUAUGUUUCUCUAUGAUCUGAUAACUCUGUGGAAGUUCUGCUCCUACUGUGUGGUACUGACUUUAUUUGUCAGAAU